RNAcentral lists this ribosomal RNA (541 nucleotides) under Bacillus anthracis (anthrax bacterium). RNAcentral describes it as "bacterial SSU rRNA". It matches the Rfam family "Bacterial small subunit ribosomal RNA", at positions 1 to 521 of the family's 1533-position model. Lineage: Bacteria; Bacillati; Bacillota; Bacilli; Caryophanales; Bacillaceae. The record is from RNAcentral.
UUUAUUGGAGAGUUUGAUCCUGGCUCAGGAUGAACGCUGGCGGCGUGCCUAAUACAUGCAAGUCGAGCGAAUGGAUUAAGAGCUUGCUCUUAUGAAGUUAGCGGCGGACGGGUGAGUAACACGUGGGUAACCUGCCCAUAAGACUGGGAUAACUCCGGGAAACCGGGGCUAAUACCGGAUAACAUUUUGAACCGCAUGGUUCGAAAUUGAAAGGCGGCUUCGGCUGUCACUUAUGGAUGGACCCGCGUCGCAUUAGCUAGUUGGUGAGGUAACGGCUCACCAAGGCAACGAUGCGUAGCCGACCUGAGAGGGUGAUCGGCCACACUGGGACUGAGACACGGCCCAGACUCCUACGGGAGGCAGCAGUAGGGAAUCUUCCGCAAUGGACGAAAGUCUGACGGAGCAACGCCGCGUGAGUGAUGAAGGCUUUCGGGUCGUAAAACUCUGUUGUUAGGGAAGAACAAGUGCUAGUUGAAUAAGCUGGCACCUUGACGGUACCUAACCAGAAAGCCACGGCUAACUACGUGCCAGCAGCCGCGGU